RNAcentral lists this ribosomal RNA (492 nucleotides) under uncultured bacterium. RNAcentral's name for it is "partial 16S ribosomal RNA". It matches the Rfam family "Bacterial small subunit ribosomal RNA", at positions 29 to 507 of the family's 1533-position model. The record is from RNAcentral.
AGUGAACGCUGGCGGUAGGCCUAACACAUGCAAGUCGAACGGCAGCACAGUAAGAUCUUGCUCUUACGGGUGGCGAGUGGCGGACGUGUGAGGAAUACAUCGGAAUCUACUUUUUCGUGGGGGAUAACGUAGGGAAACUUACGCUAAUACCGCAUACGACCUACGGGUGAAAGCAGGGGAGCUUCGGACCUUUCGCGAUUGAAUGAGCCGAUGUCGGAUUUGCUAGUUGGCGGGGUAAAGGCCCACCAAGUCGACGAUCCGUAGCUGGUCUGAGAGGAUGAUCAGCCACACUGGAACUGAGACACGGUCCAGACUCCUACGGGAGGCAGCAGUGGGGAAUAUUGGACAAUGGGCGCAAGCCUGAUCCAGCCAUCCCGCGUGGGUGAAGAAGGCCUUCGGGUUGUAAAGCCCUUUUGUUGGGAAAGAAAAGCAGCAGGUUAAUACCCAGCUGUUCUGACGGUACCAAAAGAAUAAGCACCGGCUAACUUCGCG